Molecule: ribosomal RNA, 253 nt
Filed under: uncultured bacterium
Lineage: Bacteria
Description: partial 16S ribosomal RNA
Rfam family: Bacterial small subunit ribosomal RNA
Source: RNAcentral
CACGUAGGGUGCGAGCGUUGUCCGGAAUUAUUGGGCGUAAAGAGCUCGUAGGCGGUGUGUCGCGUCGGCCGUGAAAACCUGCAGCUUAACUCCGAGCCUGCUUCUGAUACGGGCAGACUAGAGGUAUGCAGGGGAGAAUGGAAUUCCUGGUGUAGCGGUGAAAUGCGCAGAUAUCAGGAGGAACACCGGUGGCGAAGGCGGUUCUCUGGGCAUGACCUGACGCUGAGGAGCGAAAGUGUGGGGAGCGAACAGG